UACAAAUCAACGAAGAAGAGAUUGCACAUGCGCAGUUCCUCCUGAGACGUUGGAUUUGAACCAUCACGCGGCAAAAGAACGUUUGUCUGGAUUUGGUUUGAAGCGUUAAUGCAGAGACUGCCAAGCAGGAAGUGCACUUCACGCUCCCGCUCAAGGUUCUGUCAGAGUUCUUUCGCUUAACCAGCAAAAACCUCAAAAUCGAGUUUUUCAAAGAACUGGACAAAUACACUCCUCGCUGUCUUGACAUUUUCAAGUCCAAGGGUGGAUGUACCGGCCAGAUACUUAAGGCGUAUUUGCAUCAUCAAAUCGCACUGGGGAAUACAGAUGUUACUGCUUAGUGAACAGCAGUCCUCCGUGGCCUUCCCAUCCUCCUUGGAGAUGAGAACAAAGACUUCUUCAAGACAUACUUUGACUGUGAUGAACCGGAACUGGCCAACACCUCCAUUGAGAUCCUAACAGUAAUCCCGGAAGGUACCCCACCUCAAGGAACACACCAACAUUUUGGGUUUUUAGCUUAUUCACUGUAUUCCCCAGAGUUAGAUAAGUCCAUACAUACCAUUUUCAUCUCUGUGUGUCCUGUAACUUUGUCUGACGCACCCACCGCUAGCUUAGCUUAGCACAAAGAUUGUAAGUAAAUGGCUUCAGCUAGCAUACUGCUCCCUAUAAGUGACAAAAUAACGCAAACAUUUUCCUAUUUAUAUGUUGUGAUUUGUAUAGUCACAGCGUGUACAAAUAACAAGGUCAUAUGAGACACAGCCAUCUUCUAACAAUAUACAUACAGGGAACUAUAGAAGCACUGCUACUUGGGUGGAGUGAUUUGUUCGCAGCACCUGAGAAGCCCCCUGGUGAGGAGAGAGUUGUGCUAAUCACUCCGCCCAAGUAUCAGUGCUUCAUCUGAGAAUAUAGUUUCCUGUAUGUAUACUGUUAAAAGAUGUCUGUCUCAUAUGACCUUGUUAUUUGUACACACUGUGACUAUACAAAUCGCAACAUAUAAAUAGGAAA
Misgurnus anguillicaudatus (oriental weatherfish) is the source of this 1002-nucleotide non-coding RNA. Lineage: Eukaryota; Metazoa; Chordata; Actinopteri; Cypriniformes; Cobitidae. The record is from RefSeq and is a predicted model, not a curated record.